This 433-nucleotide ribosomal RNA is filed under the name uncultured bacterium. Its description in RNAcentral is "partial 16S ribosomal RNA". It matches the Rfam family "Bacterial small subunit ribosomal RNA", at positions 28 to 507 of the family's 1533-position model. The record is from RNAcentral.
GACGAACGCUGGCGGCAUGCCUAACACAUGCAAGUCGAACGAGACCUUCGGGUCUAGUGGCGCACGGGUGCGUAACGCGUGGGAACCUGCCCUUAGGUUCGGAAUAACUCAGAGAAAUUUGAGCUAAUACCGGAUAAUGUCUUCGGACCAAAGAUUUAUCGCCUUUGGAUGGGCCCGCGUAGGAUUAGCUUGUUGGUGGGGUAAUGGCCUACCAAGGCGACGAUCCUUAGCUGGUCUGAGAGGAUGAUCAGCCACACUGGGACUGAGACACGGCCCAGACUCCUACGGGAGGCAGCAGUGGGGAAUAUUGGACAAUGGGCGAAAGCCUGAUCCAGCAAUGCCGCGUGAGUGAUGAAGGCCUUAGGGUUGUAAAGCUCUUUUACCAGGGAUGAUAAUGACAGUACCUGGAGAAUAAGCUCCGGCUAACUCCGUG